This 314-nucleotide signal recognition particle RNA is filed under the name Pan troglodytes (chimpanzee). RNAcentral describes it as "Metazoan signal recognition particle RNA". It matches the Rfam family "Metazoan signal recognition particle RNA". Rfam says of the family: The signal recognition particle (SRP) is a universally conserved ribonucleoprotein. Lineage: Eukaryota; Metazoa; Chordata; Mammalia; Primates; Hominidae. The record is from Rfam by way of RNAcentral.
GCCGGGCGUGGUGGCGGGUGCCUGUAGUCCCAGCUACUGGGGAGGCUGAGGCAGGAGAAUGGUGUGAACCUGGGAGGCGGAGCUUGCAGUGAGUUGAGAUCGCGCCACUGCACUCCAACCUGGGGGACAGAGCGAGACUCUGUCUCAAAAAAAAAAAAAAAAAAAAAAGAAAAGAAAAAAGAAAAAUGGUCUCGUUAACUUUCACUUUUUUUUGAGACGGAGUCUUGCUCUGUCGCCCAGGGUGGAGUGUAGUGGCGCAAUCUCAGCUCACUGCAGCCUCUGCCUCCUGGGUUCAAACAAUUCUCCUGCCUCAG